AUUGAACGCUGGCGGAAUGCUUUACACAUGCAAGUCGAACGGCAGCACGGACUUCGGUCUGGUGGCGAGUGGCGAACGGGUGAGUAAUACAUCGGAACGUGCCCAGUCGUGGGGGAUAACGUAGCGAAAGCUACGCUAAUACCGCAUACGAUCUACGGAUGAAAGCGGGGGAUCGCAAGACCUCGCGCGAUUGGAGGGGCCGAUGGCAGAUUAGGUAGUUGGUGGGGUAAAGGCUCACCAAGCCGACGAUCUGUAGCUGGUCUGAGAGGACGACCAGCCACACUGGGACUGAGACACGGCCCAGACUCCUACGGGAGGCAGCAGUGGGGAAUUGUGGACAAUGGGCGCAAGCCUGAUCCAGCCACUCCGCGUGCAGGAUGAAGGCCCUCGGGUUGUAAACUGCUUUUGUACGGAACGAAAAGGCUCUGGUUAAUACCCGGGGCUCAUGACGGUACCGUAAGAAUAAGCACCGGCUAACUACGUGCCAGCCGCCGCAGUAA
Molecule: ribosomal RNA, 500 nt
Filed under: uncultured bacterium
Lineage: Bacteria
Description: partial 16S ribosomal RNA
Rfam family: Bacterial small subunit ribosomal RNA
Source: RNAcentral